UGUGGCUCUGUGGUAGAGUGCUUGCCUUGAAAGCAUGAGGCCCUGGAUUCAAUCCCCAGGACCACAA
RNAcentral lists this transfer RNA (67 nucleotides) under Marmota marmota marmota (Alpine marmot). It matches the Rfam family "tRNA". From Rfam's summary of the family: Transfer RNA (tRNA) molecules are approximately 80 nucleotides in length. Their secondary structure includes four short double-helical elements and three loops (D, anti-codon, and T loops). Further hydrogen bonds mediate the characteristic L-shaped molecular structure. tRNAs have two regions of fundamental functional importance: the anti-codon, which is responsible for specific mRNA codon recognition, and the 3' end, to which the tRNAs corresponding amino acid is attached (by aminoacyl-tRNA synthetases). tRNAs cope with the degeneracy of the genetic code in two manners: having more than one tRNA (with a specific anti-codon) for a particular amino acid; and 'wobble' base-pairing, i.e. permitting non-standard base-pairing at the 3rd anti-codon position. RNAcentral also lists the same sequence under 4 other names. The record is from Rfam by way of RNAcentral. Lineage: Eukaryota; Metazoa; Chordata; Mammalia; Rodentia; Sciuridae.